RNAcentral lists this ribosomal RNA (622 nucleotides) under uncultured bacterium. RNAcentral's name for it is "bacterial SSU rRNA". The stretch from base 1 to 522 matches the Rfam family "Bacterial small subunit ribosomal RNA", at positions 338 to 873 of the family's 1533-position model. The record is from RNAcentral.
CCUACGGGAGGCAGCAGUGAGGAAUUUUCCGCAAUGGGCUAACGCCUGACGGAGCAAUGCCGCGUGGAGGAGGAAGGCCUGUGGGUCGUAAACUCCUUUUCUCAGAGAAGAAGAUCUGACGGUAUCUGAGGAAUAAGCAUCGGCUAACUCUGUGCCAGCAGCCGCGGUAAUACAGGGGAUGCAAGCGUUAUCCGGAAUUAUUGGGCGUAAAGCGUCCUGAGGUGGCUUACCCAGUCGACUGUGAAAGCUCAAGGCUCAACCUUGAAACGGCAGUCGAAACUUGUAAGCUUGAGUACGGUAGAGGCAGAGGGAAUUCCCGGAGGAGAGGUGAAAUUCGUAGAUAUCGGGAGGAAGGCCAAAGGCGAAAGCACUCUGCUGGGCCGAUUACUGACACUGACAGACGAAAGCUAGGGGAGCGAAAGGGAUUAGAUACCCCUGUAGUCCUAGCCGUAAACGAUGGAUACUAAGUGUUGCGCGACUCAACUCGUGCAGUGCUGCAGCUACGACGGUAAGUAGUCCGCCGUCGGGAGGUAGUGCGUCGCAAGAGUAGAAACGUACAAAUAGAAGUUAGUACGGCGUGAGACGUACGCCGAACGGACGACCGACCGAGGGGAGGUUAGGG